Molecule: ribosomal RNA, 461 nt
Filed under: uncultured bacterium
Lineage: Bacteria
Description: SSU rRNA
Rfam family: Bacterial small subunit ribosomal RNA
Source: RNAcentral
AGAAUCAACGCUGGCGGCGUGCCUAACACAUGCAAGUCGAACGAGAAAGUGGGAGCAAUCCCACGAGUAAAGUGGCGCACGGGUGAGUAACACGUGACUAACCUACCCUUGAGUGGGGGAUAACCUAGGGAAACCUGGGCUAAUACCGCAUAAUACCUACGGGUCAAAGGAGCAAUUCGCUUUAGGAGGGGGUCGCGGCAGAUUAGUUAGUUGGCGGGGUAAUGGCCCACCAAGACAGUGAUCUGUAUCCGGCCUGAGAGGGCGCACGGACACACUGGAACUGAAACACGGUCCAGACUCCUACGGGAGGCAGCAGUGGGGAAUUUUGCGCAAUGGGGGAAACCCUGACGCAGCAACGCCGCGUGGAGGAUGAAGCCCCUUGGGGCGUAAACUCCUUUCGAUCGGGAAGAUAAUGACGGUACCGGAGAAGAACGCCCGGCUAACUUCGCGCCAGCAGCCGC